RNAcentral lists this ribosomal RNA (497 nucleotides) under uncultured bacterium. Its description in RNAcentral is "partial 16S ribosomal RNA". It matches the Rfam family "Bacterial small subunit ribosomal RNA", at positions 28 to 507 of the family's 1533-position model. The record is from RNAcentral.
GAUGAACGCUGGCGGCGUGCCUAAUACAUGCAAGUCGAGCGAACAGAUGAGGAGCUUGCUCCUCUGACGUUAGCGGCGGACAGGUGAGUAACACGUGGAUAACCUACCUAUCAGACUGGGAUAACUUCGGGAAACCGGAGCUAAUACCGGAUAAUAUAUUGAACCGCAUGGUUCAUUAGUGAAAGACGGUUUUUCUGUCACUUAUAGAUGGAUCCGCGGCGCAUUAGCUUGUUGGUAAGGUAAUGGCCUACCAAGGCGACGAUGCGUAGCCGACCUGAGAGGGGGGUCGGCGACAACAGUAGGAAGAAGACGUCGCGAAGACUACGAGAGGAGGCAGCAGGGAAGCAUAUGGAAUGAGCGAAAGAAGGACGGAGCAGCGACGCGUCGGGGAUGAAGGACUUCUGAUCGUAAAACUCUGUUAUUAGGGAAGAACAAAUGUGUCCGUAACUAUGCACGGCUUGACGGUACCUAGUCAGAAAGCCACGGCUAACUACGUG